Molecule: RNA transcript, 2183 nt
Organism: Lontra canadensis (Northern American river otter)
Lineage: Eukaryota; Metazoa; Chordata; Mammalia; Carnivora; Mustelidae
Gene: THAP6
Gene name: THAP domain containing 6
Exons: 6
Source: RefSeq, a predicted model, not a curated record
CGGGACCACGGGGCGGAAGUGAAGGGAGGCGCAAUCUUUGUCGUCGACGUUAGUCGCUGACUUCGCCGCUAACGUUCUGUUAUGAGUUGCUAAAAUCAUGGUGAAAUGUUGCUCGGCCAUUGGAUGUGCUUCGCGCUGUUUGCCCAAUUCCAAGUUAAAAGGACUGACAUUUCACGUAUUCCCCACAGAUGAAAACGUCAAAAGAAAAUGGGUAUUAGCAAUGAAAAGGUUUGAUGUAAAUGCUGCAGGCAUUUGGGAGCCUAAAAAAGGAGAUGUGUUGUGUUCAAGGCACUUUAAGAAGACAGAUUUUGACAGAAGUGCUCCAAAUAUUAAACUGAAACCUGGAGUCAUACCUUCUAUCUUUGAUUCCCCAUCUCACUUACAGGAGAAAAGAGAAAAACUUCAUUGUAGAAAAAACUUCACCCUCAAAACCCUUCCAGUCACAAACCACAAUCACCAGCUUGUUGGUGCUUCCUCAUGUACUGAAGAAUUCCAAUCCCAGUUCAUUUUUGAACAUAGCUACAGUGUAAUGGACAGUCCAAAGAAACUUAAGCAUAAAUUAGAUCAUGUGAUCAGCGAGCUAGAGGAUACCAAGAAAAGUCUGCGGAAUGUUUUAGACCGAGAAAAACGUUUCCAAAAAUCAUUGAGGAAGACAAUCAGGGAAUUAAAAGAUGAAUGUCUCAUCAGCCAAGAAACAGCAAAUAGACUGGAAGCUUUCUGUUGGGAGUGUUGUCAGGAGAGCAUAGAAAGAGACUAUAUUUCAUGAAAUAAUUCCAUGUUCUGUUCUAACUAAAAUUAAUAUUGGUACAGCAUUUUAGAAAAUAGUUCUCAUUUACCAUCAUUAAAUAUUAUCCAUUAUUUAGAGUGCUUCUUUGGCUCUCCCAUAGCAUAAUGCAUUUAGUUGUUAUCCAAAGGGUUUUUUUGAAGACGUACAGAAAUGUGCACUAGUUAUCAUGUUUUUGUAUGAUUUGUGACAAUUAUGUUUUUAUAGACCUAAACUAGUGCCAGGUCACUAUCGUAAGAUGUUAAGAGAUCCACAAGUUUCCACAGGACUUAGGAAAUUAUAUCAGAUUAGCCACAUUAAGCCAUGGUUUUAGGAACUGGACUCUGCUUCAACAGCAUCAGAUUUUGGGCUUCAAAGGAGUACCUUGACUUAUAUAUGCUUUAUGGAUUCCAUCUAAAUGGGAACCUUCCCACAUUUCAGAGGUCAGCAUUAUGCUAAGAAGAAACACCAAGGUCUUAUCUUUUUACUACCUAGAAAAAAAUCUCAUUAGCUCCCCAUUAUUUAUUUUAGUUACUUAAUUUUGAAGUCAUAAUGGACAUUUGAAGGGGAAGUUUGGAUAUGAUCUUAGAUUUUAUAGAGAUACUGUGAUAGAAAUGGAGACUAUUUUUGAGUAUGAAAAUUAAAGUCAGUGGACAGUGGAGAAAAGUAGGAUCAAUCCAAACGCAUAUGUCCAAAUUUGGCUCUCUACCGGCUGCUCAGAAUGACUCCAGCCUGGGAGACCUCUCCAAGAGUCAAAGCCCAAUUUGUGCCUCAGUCACAGUCAAUCACCACAGUCACUUUUACCACUUGUGUUCACAGUGAACUUGGCCCUUUUCUUCCUUGUCAUUGGGCUUAGUAUUUUACUGAGAGAUAGGUAACUGAGAACAAAAUCUCAGUAUCAUUAAGGACCCAGAGCUACCCAUUUUUGCUCUUUAUUCUUAUGGAGAGAUGAUUACCAAUAGAAAUCUGACAUAAGAAGUAGGGUUCUCCUCACCUGCCACCCCAAACAAAUAGACACAGUAAAUACCUCAGUCCUCUGUUCCAGAUAUUCCAGCCCAGAUCAGGGAGAAACUGUCCCGUACAGAGCCAACCAGUCACCCCCAUCCAGAGGGGCCUCAAGCAGCCAAGGCCAGCCCAAGGUUUCACUUCGCUUUAAAGCUUGGAGUAGCCUCUGGAUCCUGGAACAAACCAAUACACCAAUUCAACCUCAGCACCAAACCAGGUACAAAGGACUUGACAUGGCAUUUUUCUCCAUAUCAAGUUCAAAUCGCUGGAAAUAGACUUUGGUUGCUAAAGAUAAUCAAAAUUAUACCACAGUCUUUGAGAAAAGAUGAAAUGUAUUAAAAUAUAUAUUUAGUUUUUAAAAAGGGUAAAAUAUUACAGAAAUAAUUGAAGAGUGAAGAAUCCAUUAUUCAUUUGA